AAGACCUUGCGCUUUUGGAGCGGCCGAUGUCUGAUUAGCUUGUUGGURAGGUAAAAGCUUACCAAGGCUUCGAUCAGUAGCUGGUCUGAGAGGACGGCCAGCCACACUGGGACUGAGACACGGCCCAGACUCCUACGGGAGGCAGCAGUGGGGAAUUUUGGACAAUGGGGGCAACCCUGAUCCAGCCAUGCCGCGUGAGUGAAGAAGGCCUUCGGGUUGUAAAGCUCUUUCAGCCGGAACGAAACGGUUACGGUUAAUACCCGUGACUACUGACGGUACCGGAAGAAGAAGCACCGGCUAACUACGUGCCAGCAGCCGCGGUAAUACGUAGGGUGCAAGCGUUAAUCGGAAUUACUGGGCGUAAAGCGCGCGCAGGUGGUUUUGUAAGUCAGAUGUGAAAUCCCCGGGCUUAACCUGGGAACU
RNAcentral lists this ribosomal RNA (423 nucleotides) under uncultured bacterium. RNAcentral's name for it is "bacterial SSU rRNA". It matches the Rfam family "Bacterial small subunit ribosomal RNA", at positions 207 to 622 of the family's 1533-position model. The record is from RNAcentral.